Molecule: microRNA, 24 nt
Organism: Caenorhabditis elegans
Lineage: Eukaryota; Metazoa; Nematoda; Chromadorea; Rhabditida; Rhabditidae
Source: Ensembl
UUUGGCACUCCGCAGAUAAGGCAA